GGGAGGCAGCAUGGGGAAUAUUGCACAAUUGGGCGCAAGCCUGAUGCAGUCCAUGCCGCGUGUAUGAAGAAGCCUUCGGGUUGUAAAGUACUUUCAGCAGUGAGGAAGUGGGUAUGUUAAUAGCCAUAUUCAUUUGACCGUUAGCUGCAGAAGAAGCACCGGCUAACUCCGUGCCAGCAGCCGCGGUAAUACGGAGGUGCGAGCGUUAAUCGGAAUUACUGGGCGUAAAGCGCAUGCAGGUGGUUUGUUAAGUCAGAUGUGAAAGCCCGGGGCUCAACCUCGGAAUUGCAUUUGAAACUGGCAAACUAGAGUACUGUAGAGGGGGUAGAAUUUCAGGUGUAGCGGUGAAAUGCGUAGAGAUCUGAAGGAAUACCGGUGGCGAAGGCGGCCCCCUGGACAGAUACUGACACUCAGAUGCGAAAGCGUGGGGAGCAAACCAGGAUUAGAUACCACUGGUAG
This 459-nucleotide ribosomal RNA is filed under the name uncultured bacterium. RNAcentral describes it as "bacterial SSU rRNA". It matches the Rfam family "Bacterial small subunit ribosomal RNA", at positions 343 to 793 of the family's 1533-position model. The record is from RNAcentral.